Molecule: ribosomal RNA, 233 nt
Filed under: uncultured bacterium
Lineage: Bacteria
Description: partial 16S ribosomal RNA
Rfam family: Bacterial small subunit ribosomal RNA
Source: RNAcentral
CGGGACGGGUGAGUAAUGUAUGGGGAUCUGCCUGAUGGCGGGGGGUAACUACUGGUAACGGUAGCUAAUACCGCAUAAUGUCUACGGACCAAAGCGGGGGACCUCCGGGCCUCGCGCCAUCAGAUGAACCCAUAUGGGAUUAGCUAGUAGGUAAGGUAACGGCUUACCUAGGCGACGAUCCCUAGCUGGUCUGAGAGGAUGAUCAGCCACACUGGGACUGAGACACGGCCCAG